Oncorhynchus kisutch (coho salmon) is the source of this 783-nucleotide long non-coding RNA. RefSeq lists it as uncharacterized. Lineage: Eukaryota; Metazoa; Chordata; Actinopteri; Salmoniformes; Salmonidae. The transcript is spliced from 7 exons. The record is from RefSeq and is a predicted model, not a curated record.
ACCGCUGCCCGCUACGCCACCUGGAUGUAUCUACCCACUCACAUUCACUUACUGCAGGGUGGGAGAUGCAACAAUGGCCUUGAGAACAGCAGGAAGUGUGUUGGGGGUCUUUGUCUGGUCUGUAGCAGAAAUGAUGCUGAGGAGAAUCCUGUGACUCUGAGUGAUGAACCAGACUACACAGGUCAUGUGACGUACUGUAGCAACAAGAAGAAUGGCCACACCCUGACAAUCAGAGAUCUGAGAGAGUGUGACUCAGCUAUGUGCAAUGUCCAUCCUGACCCUAACUGGGACACACACCACUGAAAAUGAGGACCAGACACUCUGGCAGUAGACUGCAGGGUGAGAGAUGUAACAAUGGCCUUGAGAACAGCAGGAAGUGUGUUGGUGGUCUUUCUCUGGUCUGUGACAGUGGUACUGGGUCAGGAUGGCUGGAGUGUUACAUACACCACUCAGAGUAUCUGUACCUUGAGGGGGUCAACAGUGGAUCUGUUCUGCUCUUACACAUAUCCCAGUGGUCAUAAAGUCACAACAACCUUCUGGUUCACCAAAAGUAUGAUGUGGAGAAUUAUGUGAGUCUGUUAGAUGACCCAGACUACAAAGGUCGUGUGACGUACCGUAGCAAUAAGAAGAAUGGCCACACCCUGAAAAUCACAGACCUGAGAGAGAGUGACUCAGCUACGUACAAGUUCAGAUUUAUAACAAAACGAACUGAAGGGAGAUAUUCUGGAUAUCCUGGAGUCACUCUGUCUGUUACAGACCUGCAGGUGAAGGUGACCACUACAU